UGAACGCUGGCGGCGUGCUUAACACAUGCACAUCGAACGAAGCACUUUAUUUGAUUUCCUUCGGGACUGAUUCUUUUGUGACUGAGUGGCGGACGGGUGAGUAACGCGUGGGUAACCUGCCUUGUACAGGGGGAUAACAGUUGGAAACGGCUGCUAAUACCGCAUAAGCGCACAGCAUCGCAUGAUGCAGUGUGAAAAACUCCGGUGGUAUAAGAUGGACCCGCGUUGGAUUAGCUAGUUGGUGAGGUAACGGCCCACCAAGGCGACGAUCCAUAGCCGACCUGAGAGGGUGACCGGCCACAUUGGGACUGAGACACGGCCCAAACUCCUACGGGAGGCAGCAGUGGGGAAUAUUGCACAAUGGGCGAAAGCCUGAUGCAGCGACGCCGCGUGAGCGAAGAAGUAUUUCGGUAUGUAAAGCUCUAUCAGCAGGGAAGAUAAUGACGGUACCUGACUAAGAAGCACCGGCUAAAUACGUG
RNAcentral lists this ribosomal RNA (479 nucleotides) under uncultured bacterium. RNAcentral's name for it is "partial 16S ribosomal RNA". It matches the Rfam family "Bacterial small subunit ribosomal RNA", at positions 30 to 507 of the family's 1533-position model. The record is from RNAcentral.